CUUGUACAUACCGCCCGUCACACCAUGGGAGCGGGUUCUGCCAGAAGUAGUUAGCCUAACCGCAAGGAGGGCGAUUACCACGGCAGGGUUCGUGACUGGGGUG
RNAcentral lists this ribosomal RNA (103 nucleotides) under uncultured bacterium. Its description in RNAcentral is "partial 16S ribosomal RNA". It matches the Rfam family "Bacterial small subunit ribosomal RNA", at positions 1380 to 1482 of the family's 1533-position model. The record is from RNAcentral.